This 253-nucleotide ribosomal RNA is filed under the name uncultured bacterium. RNAcentral describes it as "partial 16S ribosomal RNA". It matches the Rfam family "Bacterial small subunit ribosomal RNA", at positions 524 to 776 of the family's 1533-position model. The record is from RNAcentral.
UACGAAGGGGGCUAGCGUUGCUCGGAAUCACUGGGCGUAAAGGGUGCGUAGGCGGGUCUUUAAGUCAGGGGUGAAAUCCUGGAGCUCAACUCCAGAACUGCCUUUGAUACUGAGGAUCUUGAGUCCGGGAGAGGUGAGUGGAACUGCGAGUGUAGAGGUGAAAUUCGUAGAUAUUCGGAAGAACACCAGUGGCGAAGGCGGCUCACUGGACCGGCAUUGACGCUGAGGUGCGAAAGCGUGGGGAGCAAACAGG